This 485-nucleotide ribosomal RNA is filed under the name uncultured bacterium. RNAcentral's name for it is "partial 16S ribosomal RNA". It matches the Rfam family "Bacterial small subunit ribosomal RNA", at positions 30 to 507 of the family's 1533-position model. The record is from RNAcentral.
UUGAACGCUGGCGGCAUGCCUUACACAUGCACGUCGAACGGCAGCACGGGUGCUUGCACCUGGUGGCGAGUGGCGAACGGGUGAGUAAUACAUCGGAACAUGUCCUGUAGUGGGGGAUAGCCCGGCGAAAGCCGGAUUAAUACCGCAUACGAUCUACGGAUGAAAGCGGGGGACCUUCGGGCCUCGCGCUAUAGGGUUGGCCGAUGGCUGAUUAGCUAGUUGGUGGGGUAAAGGCCUACCAAGGCGACGAUCAGUAGCUGGUCUGAGAGGACGACCAGCCACACUGGGACUGAGACACGGCCCAGACUCCUACGGGAGGCAGCAGUGGGGAAUUUUGGACAAUGGGCGAAAGCCUGAUCCAGCAAUGCCGCGUGUGUGAAGAAGGCCUUCGGGUUGUAAAGCACUUUUGUCCGGAAAGAAAUCCUUGGCUCUAAUACAGUCGGGGGAUGACGGUACCGGAAGAAUAAGCACCGGCUAACUACGUG